GAUGAACGCUGGCGGCGUGCCUAAUACAUGCAAGUCGAGCGAACGGACGAGAAGCUUGCUUCUCUGAUGUUAGCGGCGGACGGGUGAGUAACACGUGGAUAACCUACCUAUAAGACUGGGAUAACUUCGGGAAACCGGAGCUAAUACCGGAUGAUAUUUUGAACCUCAUGGUUCAAACGUGAAAGACGGUCUUGCUGUCACUUAUAGAUGGAUCCGCGCUGCAUUAGCUAGUUGGUAAGGUAACGGCUUACCAAGGCAACGAUGCAUAGCCGACCUGAGAGGGUGAUCGGCCACACUGGAACUGAGACACGGUCCAGACUCCUACGGGAGGCAGCAGUAGGGAAUCUUCCGCAAAGGGCGAAAGCCUGACGGAGCAACACCGCGUGAGUGAUGAAGGUCUUCGGAUCGUAAAACUCUGUUAUUAGGGAAGAACAUAUGUGUAAGUAACUGUGCACAUCUUGACGGUACCUAAUGAGAAAGCCACGGCUAACUACGUG
RNAcentral lists this ribosomal RNA (497 nucleotides) under uncultured bacterium. Its description in RNAcentral is "partial 16S ribosomal RNA". It matches the Rfam family "Bacterial small subunit ribosomal RNA", at positions 28 to 507 of the family's 1533-position model. The record is from RNAcentral.